Molecule: ribosomal RNA, 884 nt
Filed under: uncultured bacterium
Lineage: Bacteria
Description: bacterial SSU rRNA
Rfam family: Bacterial small subunit ribosomal RNA
Source: RNAcentral
AGAGUUUGAUCCUGGCUCAGAUUGAACGCUGGCGGAGUGCUUUACACAUGCAAGUCGAACGGUAGAGGGGGCAACCCCUUGAGAGUGGCGAACGGGUGAGUAAUAUAUCGGAACGUGCCCAGUCGUGGGGGAUAACGUAGCGAAAGUUACGCUAAUACCGCAUACGAUCUAAGGAUGAAAGCGGGGGAUCGCAAGACCUCGCGCGACUGGAGCGGCCGAUAUCAGAUUAGGUAGUUGGUAGGGUAAAGGCCUACCAAGCCAACGAUCUGUAGCUGGUCUGAGAGGACGACCAGCCACACUGGAACUGAGACACGGUCCAGACUCCUACGGGAGGCAGCAGUGGGGAAUUUUGGACAAUGGGCGAAAGCCUGAUCCAGCCAUUCCGCGUGCAGGAUGAAGGCCCUCGGGUUGUAAACUGCUUUUGUACAGAACGAAAAGGUUUCUACUAAUACUAGGAGCUCAUGACGGUACUGUAAGAAUAAGCACCGGCUAACUACGUGCCAGCAGCCGCGGUAAUACGUAGGGUGCAAGCGUUAAUCGGAAUUACUGGGCGUAAAGCGUGCGCAGGCGGUUAUAUAAGUCAGAUGUGAAAUCCCCGGGCUCAACCUGGGAACUGCAUUUGAGACUGUAUAGCUAGAGUACGGUAGAGGGGGAUGGAAUUCCGCGUGUAGCAGUGAAAUGCGUAGAUAUGCGGAGGAACACCGAUGGCGAAGGCAAUCCCCUGGACCUGUACUGACGCUCAUGCACGAAAGCGUGGGGAGCAAACAGGAUUAGAUACCCUGGUAGUCCACGCCGUAAACGAUGGGCACUAGGUGUGGGUCUCUAACCAACGAGAUCUGCGCCGUCGCUAACGCAUUAAGUGCCCCGCCUGGGGAGUACGGUCG